Ochotona princeps (American pika) is the source of this 361-nucleotide long non-coding RNA. RefSeq lists it as uncharacterized. The record is from RefSeq and is a predicted model, not a curated record. The transcript has 3 exons. Lineage: Eukaryota; Metazoa; Chordata; Mammalia; Lagomorpha; Ochotonidae.
AUCAUCUCCAACAUGGCAGAAAUUCCACAUCCUGCAGUGGAGGAGGGGACUUCUGCCUCCAAUAGGGUGGUCCUCAGUGAAACAGAAUUCCACAACUUCUCAAAGUAAUGGUGACCAUGUGGGGGCCCAGACAUUGGCAGUAACUGAUGAUAACUCUACAGAUCUUGAGACAGAUCCAUUAGACAAGAUAGGAAGAGAUUUCCAAACCAAGGAUGGACAAGGACCUCACAAACAGGAAUUGAAGCAAUGUAUGCUCAGCGGGAGGACCAACAUCAGCCCUCCACGCAACACAAAUCACCUGCAGCAGUACUCCAUGCACCAUCACUUACUCAGAACACGUGGGUAUUUCUCUGUAAGCUCG